UACGGAGGGGGCUAGCGUUGUUCGGAAUUACUGGGCGUAAAGCGCACGUAGGCGGCUUUGUAAGUUAGAGGUGAAAGCCCAGGGCUCAACCCUGGAAUUGCCUUUAAGACUGCAUCGCUUGAAUCAUGGAGAGGUGAGUGGAAUUCCGAGUGUAGAGGUGAAAUUCGUAGAUAUUCGGAAGAACACCAGUGGCGAAGGCGACUCACUGGACUGGUAUUGACGCUGAGGUGCGAAAGCGUGGGGAGCAAACAGG
This 253-nucleotide ribosomal RNA is filed under the name uncultured bacterium. RNAcentral describes it as "partial 16S ribosomal RNA". It matches the Rfam family "Bacterial small subunit ribosomal RNA", at positions 524 to 776 of the family's 1533-position model. The record is from RNAcentral.